AGAUUCGGUCGGGGGACGGAGAUUUUUCUGCUUCGGGUCCGGGUACCGAGUACAGGAAAUCUCACCCCUAACCAUAUCCCCAAUGUCAAGGGGUCCGAUGACACUCCACAAUGAAGCAAUGAAGCGUAUGCUCCACAAAUCGUGAGAAACACUGGAUCGUAGAAGACUGAAUUGAAGAAAAUUAGGUCAAGAUUUCUCCUCAAAUUAAAUAGAUUUCUUGAUCCCAGAUCAAUGAUUUUUUUUCUUUAUUAACUCGAUCUCAGAUUUCUCCUCCAAUUAUUCGAACCCAUCACACAGAUUCUCAUAUGAUCAGCAUUGAAAUUCUAUGAUCGAAUCUUAUGAUCGUCCAAAUUCAUUUGCUC
Molecule: long non-coding RNA, 362 nt
Filed under: Zostera marina
Lineage: Eukaryota; Viridiplantae; Streptophyta; Magnoliopsida; Alismatales; Zosteraceae
Description: long non-coding RNA (ZMAR_LNC005481)
Source: RNAcentral